This 241-nucleotide unclassified non-coding RNA is filed under the name Hevea brasiliensis (rubber tree). Lineage: Eukaryota; Viridiplantae; Streptophyta; Magnoliopsida; Malpighiales; Euphorbiaceae. The record is from RNAcentral.
GACGAUAAUAAUCUCGCUCUCUUGUUUGAUCAUGAUGUGCCUGAAAAUUCUGGCAAUGAUUCUCUGGCUGCUCUGGCUGGUGAGGUCUAUAAACUCUAUGAGGAGAAUAACAAACUCAAUUUUCCUCAUCGUUACGACAAACAGGCUGAGGCUGAGAAUUCCAGACCCUUGAACAAUGUUGGGGACCGAUCAUAACGUAAGCCUACGAGUAUUUCUCUUUGCUGGAACAGCACAAGCAUGC